RNAcentral lists this transfer RNA (76 nucleotides) under Armatimonadota bacterium. RNAcentral's name for it is "Armatimonadetes bacterium (bioreactor metagenome) tRNA-Val". It matches the Rfam family "tRNA". Rfam says of the family: Transfer RNA (tRNA) molecules are approximately 80 nucleotides in length. Lineage: Bacteria; Bacillati; Armatimonadota. The record is from RNAcentral.
GGGCGGUUAGCUCAGUUGGAAGAGCGCUUCUCUCACGCAGAAGAUGUCAGAGGUUCAAGUCCUCUACCGCCCACCA